UACGUAGGGGGCUAGCGUUGUCCGGAUUUAUUGGGCGUAAAGAGCGUGUAGGCGGCCAGGUAGGUCCGGUGUGAAAACUCGAGGCUCAACCUCGAGAUGUCAUCGGAAACCAUCUGGCUAGAGUCCGGAAGAGGAGAGUGGAAUUCCUGGUGUAGCGGUGAAAUGCGCAGAUAUCAGGAAGAACACCAAUGGCGAAGGCAGCUCUCUGGGACGGUACUGACGCUGAGACGCGAAAGCGUGGGGAGCAAACAGG
Molecule: ribosomal RNA, 253 nt
Filed under: uncultured bacterium
Lineage: Bacteria
Description: partial 16S ribosomal RNA
Rfam family: Bacterial small subunit ribosomal RNA
Source: RNAcentral